CGACCACCAACAGAAAUAUUGAAAUUCUCCAUAUGAAUAUCUUUGACUGCAGGUCCAGUGCCACUAUCGUGAUUAACACAUACUACAGGCAUUCCUGCCCUCGCUGCUUCCAUUUCGGCUAAAUGUACUUGGUAUUGUGCCUCUCGUUGACGUUCCUCCUUCCUCUUUCUCCUCUCUAGUUUUAAUCGGUCACGCUCAGUCAGUACAGGACCAUCAGUAACUUCAGGCUUCUUCUUGGGAACCUCUUCUUCAUCCAUUCCUUCAUUCAUUCUCAUGGGUGUUACAAGACUGCGCACAGUUGGUUUAGUUUUGACCAGUCCAUGCUUCCCAAACUUUUCUGAGAUUUUACUACAAACCGUGCGGCACUCGGAGAAGUCAGAAACGCAGCCGGCACCAACGAGGAGCUCACCAAGAGCGUCAAAAGCUCCUUCGCCAUCCUCACCGAACUCGAAAUCCUCGUCCGCAAGAACAUUGACGAUGUAGUCGAUGAUGGGCUGAUCCACAUCCUGAGUUCUCUGUCCAAGAACCUCGUGCACCACUGAGCUCGCCACCUCCGUCAUCUCGAGAACCCAAAAUUGAGGGGGGCUCUUGAGCAGAUGAAGAUUGGCUGCUGAAUCUACGGCUUUGGCGCUAUUUGCCCUCCUUCAGCAGGAGAUUCGUCGGCCUUCCAACUCCAGCAGUUGGUCG
RNAcentral lists this unclassified non-coding RNA (687 nucleotides) under Hevea brasiliensis (rubber tree). The record is from RNAcentral. Lineage: Eukaryota; Viridiplantae; Streptophyta; Magnoliopsida; Malpighiales; Euphorbiaceae.